Long non-coding RNA from Triticum dicoccoides, 1385 nucleotides. RefSeq lists it as uncharacterized. The transcript has 3 exons. Lineage: Eukaryota; Viridiplantae; Streptophyta; Magnoliopsida; Poales; Poaceae. The record is from RefSeq and is a predicted model, not a curated record.
UUGCCCAAUCCACCCCCUUCGAUCCCCUUCAAUCCACGCGUCUCCCAAGCCUUGAGGGCACAGGCAGGGAACGAGAUGGCAAAGCGACGAUGCCGCCCCGCCGCCACCAAGAGGAGGCGCCUUGCCGACGGGGACUAGGGUUUAUGCCACCGCACCGCCGCUCCCUCCCCUUCUCCACUCCCCGAGCAAAGGCGGGGACUAGGGUUUACACCGCUGCGCCACCGCCACCUCCGCUUCUCCGCUCUUCCUCUCUGGCGACCCCAGCCACCUUCGAGGCCCUCCUGUUCGUCGAUAUGCAUUGCCGCCCUAGCCCUUCGCCACGGAGCCCAAGCUUGCUUGUCCCCUAGGUAAGAGUUGUAUUUUAUUUCCUAUGGAUGUACGUGUGCUGCUUAAUUCCCCUGUAUUUUCGACUAUAUCUUGAAUCCCUUGCAUUGUUGAUCCAAGCCGGGGCUCUCUUUAUAGGUCAAUUGACUUCAUCUAUGAUGAUCUUAAUCUCUAGCUAGUCGAUUAUGUGGACUUUUGAUUUCAGUUCAGUCCGAUUAGACUAAUCUGUUGCUAUAUAUAAUCUGGGUAUCUAAUUUGUGGGACAACCGAACCGAAUCGCGUCAUGCAUGGGUGUGAGACUGAGUUAAGUACUAGCAUAACGCCUGGUGUAUUUUUUUAGCUUUUGAACCAAACUGAAUCGCAUCGUAAAAGGAAACAUAGAGAAAUUUAAGUACAAUUACAAUUUUGUUUCAUGCUGCAAUUGACGAUUGAAUUCCAUCAUUUGAUUGCACGCUGAUCUCGAAAAUUUAAUAUAUGUUUAUUGAAUAAGCUUAAUCACACUUGUUAUUUUAUAAAAUUUACUGCAGAAUGGUUGUUCUACGGUGUGAGGGUUAAAAAAAAGCUUAAUCACAGGAUCUGUAAACUACAACGACUCAUCCAGAAGUAUGUAUCAUGCAGUUUCAUUACUAGUCAAUGAGCCUCUUUCGCGCUCCGCCAGCAUCAACCUUCUCCAUGCCUCGCGGCCAUCAGCCUCCUUCACACCUACCGAAGAGCUGGUAUUUUCCCCGAGAUCGAUGUUUUCAUGCAGAGUUAUUACGAGUAUUUGCUUUUGGCCUUCUUUUAUGUGGACUCAAGAUCGAUGUUUUCAUGCAGAGUUAUUACGAGUAUUUGUUGCUUCCAGGCUGGAGUUAGAUGGUAACAAAGGAAAGAGCUCAAUUGCCAAUGGCAACAUAAAAUGCAGCCACCGAAAUACAAACAUGGCUACCACCUAUGUUAAACUUUGGUUGUAAUAGAAUAUUAUGAGGACAUGUUGUUCUUGUAACAAAAUAAUCUGGGAGUAACCUGUUCUUGUAACAGAAUAUUGUGAGGACCGACAUGGUUAGAGUUGUUAAACUAGCAAA